This 328-nucleotide ribosomal RNA is filed under the name uncultured eukaryote. RNAcentral's name for it is "partial 18S ribosomal RNA". It matches the Rfam family "Eukaryotic small subunit ribosomal RNA", at positions 1470 to 1796 of the family's 1831-position model. The record is from RNAcentral.
CCCUUAGAUGUUCUGGGCCGCACGCGCGCUACACUGAUUCAUGCAACGAGCUUAUAACCUUGGCCGAGAGGCCUGGGCAAUCUUGUUAACGUGCAUCGUGAUAGGGAUAGAUUAUUGAAAUUAUUAAUCUUGAACGAGGAAUUCCUAGUAAACGCAGAUCAUCAAUCUGCAUUGAUUACGUCCCUGCCCUUUGUACACACCGCCCGUCGCACCUACCGAUUGGAUGGUCCGGUGAAGCCUCGGGAUUGUGGUUCUUGCCGCUUUAUUGUGGCGUGACCGCGAGAACUUGUCUAAACCUUAUCAUCUAGAGGAAGGUGAAGUCGUAACA